RNAcentral lists this ribosomal RNA (279 nucleotides) under uncultured bacterium. RNAcentral describes it as "partial 16S ribosomal RNA". It matches the Rfam family "Bacterial small subunit ribosomal RNA", at positions 506 to 784 of the family's 1533-position model. The record is from RNAcentral.
UGCCAGCAGCCGCGGUAAUACGGAGGGUGCAGGCGUUGUCCGGAAUCAUUGAGUGUAAAGGGUACGUAGGCGGGAGCCUAAGUCUGGGGUGAAAUCUUGCCGCUUAACGGUAAAAUGGCCCUGGAUACUGGGUUUCUUGAGUGCAGAAGAGGCAGGUGGAAUUCGUGGUGUAGCGGUGAAAUGCUUAGAUAUCACGAAGAACAUCAGUGGCGAAGGCAGCUUACUAUGUUACAACUAACGCUGAGGUGCGAAAGCGUGGGGAGCAAACAGGAUUAGAUA